ACUACACAAAUUUUUCCGUAACGAAUUAUCAGCCUUCCUGCCUUCGCAUUUCAAAAUUGCCAUUAGAUGGCUGCUCUCCGACUUGUGAAUGCCGCGAGCGCUGCGAGUACCGAGAAGAAAAGUCUGGCGUUGCUGUAUGAAGUUGAAGAAGUGUCUCAAAAUUUCUUGAUAAGCCAUUUUGAAAAGUGAUUCCAACGAGAAACGUUCUUCCGCUGUCUACAAUUUAUUGUGAGAUCUAAUUUAAAUGAACGCCAUCCUUCUAGUACAAAUUGUUUGCAACUAAUGUUGAUGACAAGAUGCAGGAUACCAUAUUGGUUAAGGCAUGACAUUGAAGAGAUAUCGUCAGUUUUUUCACCAUUGCAUUCAUCACAUCACAGAAGGAAUGAAGGGACGGUGUUGCUACUGAUAUGGGAUGUUGAGUCAAGACUGUGCAGCAAUCCAGUAACACCAUCAGACAUGGCUACAAGAAGUUGGAAAUGUACUUGCUCGUUGUGAUCGUCCACAAUUCGUUACCAAGGGCAUGUGAUUACCACGACGUACUUGAAGGUGGCUAACUUGGAACAUGAUGGUGUCUUGGUGGAGUAUUGCUAGGUGCUGACCUUUCAACACCGAUUGAUGAGUAUUGCUGUUCGAGAAGUUACUUCUGUGUGUGUUUAACGGUCGGAAGCAACAGUAGCAGUAGCCUGCACAGCAUCGCAUGUUUCAAUAUGUAUGUCGGGUGGUGGAACCAACUUGUUAGCUGGAUUGAAACCUACUUGCUAUCACUGGAUUCAACUGAGUGGUUAUAGCUGUGGGUGUUGGAUCGAGUCAGGGAGAGGCUGUAAUCUGAACAAUAGGAUUAUUUCAGUUGGGUUUUAUUCAACACACUAGCAAUGAAUCUACCUACGAUAUUAAAAAACUAGGCGUCGGGAGAGGGUUACUACAGAUGUUACUUGCCGCAGAAGUUCUCCAUUAACAAACCGUUAUCACUUCCAUUAUAUCAAAGGACUUACGCAUCACAAACUUGAAGGUGAUGAAAUUUGACUAUACGGUCAAUUGAGUUCGACUAUAUCACGAGGUUAAGCAUCUAGCCCAUUGUCGUUCAAGAUUUCCAUCACGGCCCCAAGAAAAACUCGCCGUCUAGAAUCUACUCAUCGGUGAAAAUCCAGGACCAUGAAGGAAAUAUCAACUCAUGCAAAACAGCUGUUGCGCUCUACGUAUUACCCAAACCCAUCAACUAAAAGAGUGUUACUCCUGGAACAUCGAUGAGUGUUGUUCGUCAAACAAUUUUUCGUAAACAAAGUUAUGUAGCUCGAAAACAAGUCGACAUACCUUGUGUCUACACAGCCGGAUUUCGCGUCAACUGGCGCAUUCAAUUAUUCAUAUCUCCAAAGAUGUCAAAAUCAACACACUAAUUAUACAUAAAACUAGCGAUGGGAAAUUUCCAUGAUUCCUCCAGCAUUCUAGCUGAUUAGGACGAUGUAACACCUCAUGGACAACUAACUACGUAAACUUGUAGUUCUUCAUCUUCUUAGUGAAGGAGUCAACCAUCCUCGUCCCAGUUUCGCACAUUAUUCAGGCUGCAUUAAGCAAUGAUACGGAUACAUUGACUGCCAUUUUGCUGAAUUGAAGCUGUGCACCAUUUUCUGGCCUUUGCUGGAACUUUGGAUAUUGACCCGCCACAAGUGAAGAUAGUUGGAGUUUACGCUGUUAGCAUUGCCACGAGUGCACGAGAGUUAGGAAUAGUUUAUGCUAGUACGACAACCUUCUUUUUUUCAAGGGAACAUUAGAGAUUGGGAUUUGGGGGAAAAAUGCGGAGUAAAAAUAAGAUUAAAUCGGCAACAAGUAUAUGUUGCUAUAGAAUAUUUGACUGUAAUAAAAACAAAUUAAAGUAGCCUUUAUAUAAUAUACAUUUAUAUUGAAGUUGAAUAUUACAUACAUUGCAUUUAUGUAAAAAAGUUAUAUUCUUAUAGUUAUUGUCAAAUGUGUCAUUUUUUUGUACCCUAUUCUUGUGAAAGUUCCUUUGCAAGUUAAACUGUUUCCGUUCCUUGGUAUUCUGUUUCGGCUUUCGAAAUAUGUAGUUAGUAAUUUGUGUUAUCAUUAUUUUUUUUUUGUUAACCAUUAAUAUUUUAAAAAGGAACAAAACCAAUGAUAUAAUGAGUUGUCUAGUAAACAAGGAAAAACCACCAAAAUUUCCUCAAUUCCCAUACUACCAACACCCUCUUCCAGCUCCUCGACCUCCUGCUAAAUACAACGGUUGUGUGCCCAACGGUGGGAUUGGAUUAUUGAUUAGUAAAGAAAACGAAGUUCACAGAAAAGAAAGGAGCCCAAAUUUGCAUUUUUUGAAGUAGCUUUAACCUAUGAUGUGUAUCAUGCAAUUUAGGAGCAGACAAAGUUUCCCAAGAUGAUUCUAUUCUGUAGUAGGGCAUUUAGCCGAGACAAAGCUGUCACAUUCCUAUGCUGCUAUCCAAUUAUCAAUGGCCAUCGGCACUUACAGAAAAAAAGAAAGAUUUAUCACAGGUAAGGCACAGUGCAGAAUGACAGGAAUAAAGCUAAAAGGGUGAUACCUAGAGGUAGCGGAAGACGAUAUUUCGUCAACUAUCUGGAAUCACUGACAGACGAGACACACAUCAGCGAACGUCAUGCUGCCUUCCACUCAUUUUUAUCCACCUUGGGUAUUUUGUCUGUUGUGAUGUGUGAUGCUGUGGUGGUGGCUUUUUGGUGAAGACGAGAUACAAAUUUGGAGGAGAGAAUAUUACAUAUGGGCUUAUGACGUCAAAAGUUCAGCGACAUCUUCUUCGAAAAUUACCAAUGAAUUCGUUGGAGAAAAUGUGAAAGGUUCAUGAAGCCUGUACUGUCAACUAUUGUGAAUCCUGGUAUCCUAACUGAAUAUGUCAUCCAAAUGACAGAGUGGCGUGAGGAAUUGCAAAUUUAGCUGCUGCGUGCUGUCUGCAAGGAAGCAAUCCAAUUGGCUGUCGCUAGGUGGCGCGAGCGUCUUCGGCCAUUUUGUUCCUUGACAAAUGAGAAGUGGGAUGCUGCAUGCUGGUCGUGACGUUUCCCAUGGUGAAAAUGUAAAGGUGAUUUCAAUACCACUUUGUCAAACCAGAAUCUAUCUGGGAAGCCUGUCCAUUUUGCUGAAAUGUCGUGCCUCGUGUGUCUUGCUGCCUGCACCCAGUCGUAUGUCUCGUGCCAUGCUAAAGCAAAAGUCCGCUGUUGGUUACCUUAUUGCAGCCAGGUGGUGAAAGAUGUGAUGGAGACUAAUUGAACUGUUGUAUGCAGCGUGUGGUUCCAGUGUUAUCCAGAAGUAGCUGUGCUGGCGGUAUCCUGAACUAGCCUGAAGUUGCCAGUGAUAUCUGGGUCUCUGACUUUAAAUAUAUUUUAUGUUUGCAUUUGUGUAUUUCUCUCUGCCAAUGCUAUCCUGUGUUUGAAAUCUUUUCUCAUUCGUGUUUUUUGCUCUACCAGUGAUUUCCUGUGUUUCACUCUUGAAAUGGUUCCAUUGUCUUUGGCGUUUUUAUUGUGCAGUAUACGAUUGAGGCAACCUGAUCUAUGUCAGGUUUGACUCAGUCGACAACUGCUAGAUUAAAUUCCGGCUUUCUGCACCAACAAAAUAAUAACGGCACAUGUUAUUAUCGCGGUUGGGAAAGUCACAGGCCCCCCCCUCCCUGGGGGCCAUAAAA
This 3656-nucleotide long non-coding RNA is filed under the name Daphnia pulex (common water flea). RNAcentral describes it as "uncharacterized LOC124191402, transcript variant X9". The record is from RNAcentral. Lineage: Eukaryota; Metazoa; Arthropoda; Branchiopoda; Diplostraca; Daphniidae.